This 66-nucleotide transfer RNA is filed under the name Trigonopterus sp. 2 AH-2016. Its description in RNAcentral is "tRNA-Val". The record is from RNAcentral. Lineage: Eukaryota; Metazoa; Arthropoda; Insecta; Coleoptera; Curculionidae.
CGAGCUAGAGCUUAUAUAGCAUUUUAUUUACAUUAAAGGGGUUGUUACUAAGGUAAUGUAGCUUGA